UUAAGUUCAGCGGGUAUCCCUACCUGAUCCGAGGUCAACCUUAAAAAGUAUGGGUUGUUGACCAGCAACCGACGGACCCUCUCGCGAGAAGAUUACUACGCGAAGAGCCAACCGGCGCCGCCACUGCGUUUAGAGGCCGCUGGUGGGCGUACCUCAAUACCAAGCCAGGCUUGAGUGGUGUAAAUGACGCUCGAACAGGC
This 200-nucleotide unclassified non-coding RNA is filed under the name Helotiales sp. Its description in RNAcentral is "partial internal transcribed spacer 2". Lineage: Eukaryota; Fungi; Ascomycota; Leotiomycetes; Helotiales. The record is from RNAcentral.